RNAcentral lists this ribosomal RNA (467 nucleotides) under uncultured bacterium. Its description in RNAcentral is "partial 16S ribosomal RNA". It matches the Rfam family "Bacterial small subunit ribosomal RNA", at positions 30 to 507 of the family's 1533-position model. The record is from RNAcentral.
AGUGAACGCUGGCGGUAGGCCUAACACAUGCAAGUCGAACGGCAGCACAGUAAGAGCUUGCUCUUACGGGUGGCGAGUGGCGGACGGGUGAGGAAUACAUCGGAAUCUACUUUUUCGUGGGGGAUAACGUAGGGAAACUUACGCUAAUACCGCAUACGACCUACGGGUGAAAGCAGGGGAUCUUCGGACCUUGCGCGAUUGAAUGAGCCGAUGUCGGAUUAGCUAGUUGGCGGGGUAAAGGCCCACCAAGGCGACGAUCCGUAGCUGGUCUGAGAGGAUGGUAAGAGACAGGGAGGAUGGGACACGGCCCAGACUACUACGGGAGGGGGGAGUGGGGAAUAUUGGAAAAGGGGCGCAAGUCGGAUGCAGCAAGGCCGCGUGAGUGAUGAAGGGCGUAGGGUUGUAAAGCUCUUUAACACGGGAUGAUAAUGACGGUACCGGGAGAAUAAGAACCGGCUAACUCCGUG